Long non-coding RNA from Nematostella vectensis (starlet sea anemone), 1856 nucleotides. RefSeq lists it as uncharacterized. Lineage: Eukaryota; Metazoa; Cnidaria; Anthozoa; Actiniaria; Edwardsiidae. The transcript is spliced from 2 exons. The record is from RefSeq and is a predicted model, not a curated record.
AAGAGCGAGUGCUUUGUGUUUGCAUCUAGUAGUCGGCUUCCAUAAAGAGUUCUACUCGAGCUUGCUUCUAAAAAGACUGUCUAUCCGGGAAAGUGUGAAUGUGUGCAAUUUCAUUAAUGGGCCAAUUAAAGUGUCGAUGAAUAUAGUCGAGUAAAAAAGAACUGCGUGUCAGAUGACGGGCCAAGAAGCCGGAUUAGAGGUGCAGGGUGAAUUGUCUUGUGACUGUUCUGAAUUGUCGUGAAUACGAAUCUGAUUUAACGCGGUCUGGUGGCGAUGACUAUGGGGUCAGCGUGCUUGAACUAGAUAUAUAAUCGAUGUUUAUACAAGCCUACGAGAGUCAUGCUGGUCGAGUCUAUCGAAAAGAUAUACGGCGCGAUAAACACGUUAUACCUCGACAAGAUUUACCUACAACUAAUUAAAAAUGUUUAGACUACCGUAAGGACUGUUAUUAUUCCCAUUGACUAAACUGCAAAACAAACACGGACUCUCAAAGACUAUAUCUCGCCCCCAAUACACAAUAAUUGUAAACACUAUUCUUUGUGUCGGUUGAGACACUAGUAGUGCUGUUCAAAGAGGAGCAGAUCUUCUUACAAGUAACGAUCCGUAUCUGAUCUGCAGAAACAGCAAUCAUGGGGCAAUAGGAAAAUUUUAAUAAAACAUGUCACUAGCCCGGAAGCCAUCUCGUGUGCAGAUAUCUGUGGAAGUAUUACAAGUGUCGCAAGCGCGGCAGUCCGGCAACAAGCAAAGGAUCAAUUCUCCAUCGGUAUCUAGCAUGGCAUCUCAGCAAGAGAAAAUACAAUGGAGAGAAAAUACAAUUGCGUCCCAUUUUUUCGCGUCAUUCCGCUGGGAACUCUGUCUCACAUCAGAGGUGAAAGGCGUUUUGGAAUAUAUGGGCAGACAUUUUCCUUUUUUCAAUCCCAUUUUAUGUGCGUGGUACAAUUCCGUCACCGAGAAGCAUGUUGUAUCAGCGCCCUCGUCAUAUUACGUCUAAUUUCGGGAUAUCAAGGCACUUAAACUUACUAACGAAAGGUUAAGAUUUAUUACAAAAAUCAAACGCUGACAACCUCACUAAGAACUAAUGAAAGACAGCGAGCGCGCAAAAUCACACUCGACUGCAAAAAAAAACUGGCGGCGUGAUUUUCUUCUUGACGAUGGUGUCUGAUGCUGGGUUAAGUCCAGUCGUGCUUGAAGGGUGAAACGCAAGUGGUGCUGGAUUAACAACAAACAUCCAUGAUCUAGGCUGAUCUGGGUUCAAAUCAGAGCCUUUUCGGAAAUGUGAUUAUUUUUUAUCAGCGAUACGAGCCGACCUGGGUUGGCUGUUUAUAUUUAGCGUUUAUGAAAACCCGCCUUUCUCGAAUGUUCGCCGAGAUGUGUGGGCUACAACAACGGUUAAAUAUCCAUCUAAACUACAAUUUGCGGAAAUAUAGUGAAGCGUUAAACGUGUAAUCAUUAGCUAGUUAAACGAAAAGUUUACGUGAAUAACGGCUUAACAUAAACAAGCUAUCUUAUCGCUAGCUUACUAGCGAUUUGGAACACAUGUGGCCUCUGUAGCAAAGUGGGCACUAAAUUAAUUAACUAAAACACUUUUUGCCCGCCCAGAUAAAAUUCAUAAGGUUACUUCAUAAAAUGCCUUUAAUGGUUAUUGUGUUUUUCAUAGAUAAACAGAGAAUUAAAGAAAUAAUUGCAGUCAUCAGUGUGAAGUGGAGGGAUGGAUCCAAGUUCACCUAUGGUCCAUAUAGAACACAGCAAACCCCAAAAGACGCUCUCCGAUUAAAGAACAAAUUAAGCUCGAAACUGGCAGGGCGAACAGGGAAUAGCAGUUAUUUGAGAUCUAUAAACAAAGUCUAAAGAUCCCA